UUUGUUACUAUCUAAUAGCAAAGAGAUUUGGCAGUGCCAUCAACUGGACAGCAACCCUGGCCAUUGUAUUUAUGCUGAAAGAAAGCAUGACCUUUGUGCGUAGUACAUCGGUAGGCCGAUUCGUUCCAGUGGACUCGAUGGUAUAUAUCCAUAAAGUCAAUGGUUAUGUUGUGGUUGUCGCGAUAUUCGGUCACAUCAUCAUGCAUUUCGCUACAUACGGGCGUGUUAAAUUGUGUGGAUUAGCCUAGCUGAACUAUUCCAGUGCUGGAGAAGCAAAUACGAGCACAAUCUUAUCGCCUACGCUGGACAUCAUUUCUGGCUGGUUCAGUUUCGCCGCCACCUUGGUUACUUUCACUGGAUCUUACCCUGCGUGAGAAGAACUGGACAUUUCGAGGUCUUUUUUUAUACUCAUCUUUCCGGAUACAUCACCUUCUAUGUUGCACUCUUGCUGCACACGUUGCAUCAUAAAUUUUGGCAGUUCAUACUUGUUCCGGGAACGAUGUACCUAUAUAGUCGAAAAGGCAUAUGCCAGCUGGAUGAUUCACCGCAAAGCAGGAUAUAAGGUGAUGAUAAGAAAAGUCGUCCAGUGGCCAUCCGGAGUUACCCAGCUUACCGUGGAUCGCCCAGCACAUUUCGUUUACAAUCCCGGUGAUUAUAUUCAGAUCAAAAUACCCGCUCUCGCAUGGUUUGAGUGGCAUCCGUUUACUAUUAGCAGUUGCCCGGAAGAGAAAAAUUGUUAUUGCAGCAAUAUUCGAGUUCAACGGUUUUGCAUCAAUCUUGGCAUC
Long non-coding RNA from Paramacrobiotus metropolitanus, 785 nucleotides. RefSeq lists it as uncharacterized. The transcript is spliced from 5 exons. The record is from RefSeq and is a predicted model, not a curated record. NCBI's taxonomy places the organism in Eukaryota, Metazoa, Tardigrada, Eutardigrada, Parachela, Macrobiotidae.